Oncorhynchus tshawytscha (Chinook salmon) is the source of this 1257-nucleotide long non-coding RNA. The record is from Ensembl. Lineage: Eukaryota; Metazoa; Chordata; Actinopteri; Salmoniformes; Salmonidae.
CUUUACUGACAUGCCUAGUUAAAUAAAGGUUACAUAUAUAUAUUUUUUUAAAUUGAAUUGCGUGGUGGGGAGGUGGAGGGCCAGAUGGGUGUGCCUGCACGUCAUAACAACUUCUUACCAGUUGUAGGCCUUGUGGGCAGGUUUUGGGUCGUCAUUGGUCUAGACAUUUUGGCUGAGCCUGACAACCCUGGUUGUGACGUCACUUCAAUUAUGGGCUCGCGCUGUUGACAGAAGUUUGUCCAGUGAGUCGACAGCAAGACAAAAGCAGCUAAAUUAGUACAUUUUUGAUGUAUUCAUUUUGAAGGUAAGCAAAUGGAGAAGCACCAUAUUCCAGUGUAAUGUUUCCGGGGUAUGUACAUAUGUUUGUUGAGAUGUUAUGUUUUUAUGAACUUAUGAAAGUCCUCUAGCCUACAAGCUAAUUUAGCCGUUAGCCUUUUAGCUGGUAGCCCCGCAUAGCAACGCUAGCUUCCCUAGUAACGGCCCUUUUGCAGCAGAGUGAAUGAGACAUGAAGCUGAUAGAUCUAGAGAGAGAGAGAGAAGUUAAACAACUGUAACUAGAUGUAAAUCAAAUAUUACUAUGAGAUGAAUUGGAUGAAUGUGUGUUUAUGUAUCAGAAAUUGUAUUAUUAUCAUAAUUAUUAUUGAUUCUAUUAAUUGAAUAGCAGUUUAGAAGAAAUGUACAAGCCUAAAUGAAACAACUAGAUAAAUACAUUUUUUAUGUCUUCAAUUUAUUUGAAGGUCUUGGUUCCAAUUCUUCUCAACUUCACUGCAUAAGUGUAACACAUUCCCAACGUUUUUUAUUUGAACAUAAUUGCACUGUAAUUAUUUGUAUUUAUUUAACCUUUAUUUAACGAGGCAAGUCAGUUAAGAACACAUACUUAUUUACAAUGACGGCCUACCAAAAGGCAAAAGACCUCUGCGGGGACAGGGGCUGGGAUUAAAAAUGUCAAAAUAAAUAACAUAUAAAUAUAGGACAAAACACACAUCAAGACAACAGAGACAACACAACGCUACAUACAGAGAGACACAUUUGAGCUGUAUAAUGUUCUUUACCAGGGUCCGAGACUUCAUUAGUCCAACCAGCACUGCAGAAGUCAUAGUAAAACUGCUUGGAAGCUAUGCUUUAUCACACUCUCAUGUAGGAAUUGUGUUCUGAUAUUAUGAAGGCGUCCCUGAUCACAAAAUGGGUCCCCAAUGCAAAGAAGUUUGGGAACCCCUGAUCUAGAAAAAGUCAUGACACAAUGCCCCUUUGUAUUUU